CACCGAUUGACGUUUUUUAGAGUUUGGAUCCUGGCUCAGCUUGAACGCUGGCGGCAGGCCUAACACAUGCAAGUCGAGCGGUAGCACAGAGAGCUUGCUCUCGGGUGACGAGCGGCGGACGGGUGAGUAAUGUCUGGGAAACUGCCUGAUGGAGGGGGAUAACUACUGGAAACGGUAGCUAAUACCGCAUAACGUCGCAAGACCAAAGUGGGGGACCUUCGGGCCUCAUGCCAUCAGAUGUGCCCAGAUGGGAUUAGCUGGUAGGUGGGGUAACGGCUCACCUAGGCGACGAUCCCUAGCUGGGUCUGAGAGGAUGACCAGCCACACUGGAACUGAGACACGGUCCAGACUCCCUACGGGAGGCAGCAGUGGGGAAUAUUGCACAAUGGGCGCAAGCCUGAUGCAGCCAUGCCGCGUGUGUGAAGAAGGCCUUCGGGUUGUAAAGCACUUUCAGCGGGGAGGAAGGCGGUGAGGUUAAUAACCUCAUCGAUUGACGUUACCCGCAGAAGAAGCACCGGCUUUAACUUCCGUGCCAGCAGCCGCGGUAAUACGGAGGGUGCAAGCGUUAAUCGGCAAUUACUGGGCGUAAAGCGCACGCAGGCGGUCUGUCAAGUCGGAUGUGAAAUCCCCGGGCUCAACCUGGGAACUGCAUUCGAAACUGGCAGGCUAGAGUCUUGUAGAGGGGGGUAGAAUUCCAGGUGUAGCGGUGAAAUGCGUAGAGAUCUGGAGGAAUACCGGUGGCGAAGGCGGCCCCCUGGACAAAGACUGACGCUCAGGUGCGAAAGCGUGGGGAGCAAACAGAAUUAGAUACCCUGGUAGUCCACGCUGGAAAACAAUGUCUAUUUUCAUGAAGUCGGAAUCGCUAGUAAUCGUAGAUCAGAAUGCUACGGUGAAUACGUUCCCGGGCCUUGUACACACCGCCCGUCACACCAUGGGAGUGGGUUGCAAAAGAAGUAGGUAGCUUAACCUUCGGGAGGGCGCUUACCACUUUGGAUUCCG
RNAcentral lists this ribosomal RNA (999 nucleotides) under Klebsiella pneumoniae. RNAcentral's name for it is "bacterial SSU rRNA". It matches the Rfam family "Bacterial small subunit ribosomal RNA". Lineage: Bacteria; Pseudomonadati; Pseudomonadota; Gammaproteobacteria; Enterobacterales; Enterobacteriaceae. The record is from RNAcentral.